AUUGAACGCUGGCGGCAUGCUUUACACAUGCAAGUCGAACGGCAGCGCGGGCUUCGGCCUGGCGGCGAGUGGCGAACGGGUGAGUAAUGCAUCGGAACGUGCCCAGUAGUGGGGGAUAGCCCGGCGAAAGCCGGAUUAAUACCGCAUACGACCUGAGGGUGAAAGCGGGGGGCCGAAAGGCCUCGCGCUAUUGGAGCGGCCGAUGUCGGAUUAGCUAGUUGGUGGGGUAAAGGCUUACCAAGGCGACGAUCCGUAGCUGGUCUGAGAGGCCGACCAGCCACACUGGGACUGAGACACGGCCCAGACUCCUACGGGAGGCAGCAGUGGGGAAUUUUGGACAAUGGGGGCAACCCUGAUCCAGCCAUGCCGCGUGCGGGAAGAAGGCCUUCGGGUUGUAAACCGCUUUUGUUCGGGAAGAAAUCCUCUGGGCUAAUACCCCGGGGGGAUGACGGUACCGGAAGAAUAAGCACCGGCUAACUACGUG
Molecule: ribosomal RNA, 484 nt
Filed under: uncultured bacterium
Lineage: Bacteria
Description: partial 16S ribosomal RNA
Rfam family: Bacterial small subunit ribosomal RNA
Source: RNAcentral